AAAUUGAAGAGUUUGAUCAUGGCUCAGAUUGAACGCUGGCGGCAGGCCUAACACAUGCAAGUCGAACGGUAACAGGAAGCAGCUUGCUGCUUCGCUGACGAGUGGCGGACGGGUGAGUAAUGUCUGGGAAACUGCCUGAUGGAGGGGGAUAACUACUGGAAACGGUGGCUAAUACCGCAUAACGUCGCAAGACCAAAGAGGGGGACCUUCGGGCCUCUUGCCAUCAGAUGUGCCCAGAUGGGAUUAGCUUGUUGGUGAGGUAACGGCUCACCAAGGCGACGAUCCCUAGCUGGUCUGAGAGGAUGACCAGCCACACUGGAACUGAGACACGGUCCAGACUCCUACGGGAGGCAGCAGUGGGGAAUAUUGCACAAUGGGCGCAAGCCUGAUGCAGCCAUGCCGCGUGUAUGAAGAAGGCCUUCGGGUUGUAAAGUACUUUC
This 440-nucleotide ribosomal RNA is filed under the name Salmonella enterica subsp. enterica serovar Infantis. Its description in RNAcentral is "bacterial SSU rRNA". It matches the Rfam family "Bacterial small subunit ribosomal RNA", at positions 1 to 437 of the family's 1533-position model. Lineage: Bacteria; Pseudomonadati; Pseudomonadota; Gammaproteobacteria; Enterobacterales; Enterobacteriaceae. RNAcentral also lists the same sequence under 2 other names. The record is from RNAcentral.